RNAcentral lists this transfer RNA (74 nucleotides) under Bacteroidia bacterium 44-10. Its description in RNAcentral is "tRNA-Cys". It matches the Rfam family "tRNA". From Rfam's summary of the family: Transfer RNA (tRNA) molecules are approximately 80 nucleotides in length. Their secondary structure includes four short double-helical elements and three loops (D, anti-codon, and T loops). Further hydrogen bonds mediate the characteristic L-shaped molecular structure. tRNAs have two regions of fundamental functional importance: the anti-codon, which is responsible for specific mRNA codon recognition, and the 3' end, to which the tRNAs corresponding amino acid is attached (by aminoacyl-tRNA synthetases). tRNAs cope with the degeneracy of the genetic code in two manners: having more than one tRNA (with a specific anti-codon) for a particular amino acid; and 'wobble' base-pairing, i.e. permitting non-standard base-pairing at the 3rd anti-codon position. Lineage: Bacteria; Pseudomonadati; Bacteroidota; Bacteroidia. The record is from RNAcentral.
GGUACCUUGGCCGAGUGGUUAGGCGCCGGUCUGCAAAACCGUCGACGGCGGUUCGAAUCCGCCAGGUACCUCAA